RNAcentral lists this ribosomal RNA (195 nucleotides) under uncultured marine bacterium. Its description in RNAcentral is "partial 16S ribosomal RNA". It matches the Rfam family "Bacterial small subunit ribosomal RNA", at positions 338 to 524 of the family's 1533-position model. The record is from RNAcentral.
CCUACGGGAGGCAGCAGUGGGGAAUCUUGGGCAAUGGGCGAAAGCCUGACCCAGCAAUACCGCGUGAGGGAUGAAGGCCUUCGGGUCGUAAACCUCUGUCAGCAGGAACGAUGGGUCUCCGUGCUAAUACCACGGAGACUUGACGGUACCUGCAAAGGAAGCCCCGGCUAACUCCGUGCCAGCAGCCGCGGUAAU